RNAcentral lists this ribosomal RNA (253 nucleotides) under uncultured bacterium. RNAcentral's name for it is "partial 16S ribosomal RNA". It matches the Rfam family "Bacterial small subunit ribosomal RNA", at positions 524 to 776 of the family's 1533-position model. The record is from RNAcentral.
GACAGAGGUGCCGAGCGUUAGGCGGAAUCACUGGGCUUAAAGCGUGUGUAGGCGGACUUCUAAGUACCUUGUGAAAUCCCAUGGCUCAACCAUGGAACUGCUCGGUAUACUGGUUGUCUUGAGCCACUUAGGGGCAGUCGGAACAGACGGUGGAGCGGUGAAAUGCGUAGAUAUCGUCUGAAACGCCAACGGUGAAAACAGACUGCUGGGAGUGUGCUGACGCUGAGACACGAAAGCCAGGGGAGCAAACGGG